GACGUAGGGGGCCAGCGUUGCUCGGAAUUACUGGGCGUAAAGGGUUCGUAGGCGGUGCGGUAAGUCGGAAGUGAAAUCUCUGGGCUUAACUCAGAGGCUGCUUUCGAAACUGCCGUGCUAGAGUGCGGGAGAGGCCAGUGGAAUUGCAGGUGUAGCGGUGAAAUGCGUAGAUAUCUGCAGGAACACCCGUGGCGAAGGCGGCUGGCUGGACCGCAACUGACGCUGAGGCACGAAAGCGUGGGGAUCAAACAGG
RNAcentral lists this ribosomal RNA (253 nucleotides) under uncultured bacterium. RNAcentral describes it as "partial 16S ribosomal RNA". It matches the Rfam family "Bacterial small subunit ribosomal RNA", at positions 524 to 776 of the family's 1533-position model. The record is from RNAcentral.